RNAcentral lists this unclassified non-coding RNA (220 nucleotides) under soil metagenome. RNAcentral describes it as "partial contains 5.8S ribosomal RNA, internal transcribed spacer 2, and large subunit ribosomal RNA". The record is from RNAcentral.
AACGCACGAGACCUGCGGACCUGCGGAAGGAUCAUUACCGAGCGUUGCCCCCCUGAAAAAUGGGGGGUGCCUCCCGUCCUUUGCAGGCCCCUAGGGGCUCUCGAACCUUCUGCUUCGGCGGGUCCACCCCGCCGGAACACCCUCAGAAAAACUCUUGUUGAAACGGUUCCGUCCGAGAGCUUUUGAAAAAUCUAGCCAAAACUUUCAGCAACGGAUCUCU